UGGUUCUGGCAUCGAUGAAGAACGCAGCAAAAUGCGAUAAGUAAUGUGAAUUGCAGAAUUCCGUGAAUCAUCAAAUCUUUGAACGCACAUUGCGCCUUCUGGUAAUCCGGGAGGCAUGCCUGUCUGAGCGUCAUUACACCAUUCAAACCUUUGCUUUUGUUAGCUACUGGUUUGGUUUUGGAAGUAGAUUGAGUCGAUUUCGAUGCGAUCUCUUCUGUAAUGUAUUGACGAGUGCCUACUGUCUUCUUAGUUGUAGCAAAGAAAAUCACUUCUCUCUCAACUUCAAGGUAGAUGGUUGGGUGUCCUACUUUUAAGUUCCUGCUCUUUUGGGGCGUGGAUUUUCCAAAGUUUGACCUCAGAUCAGGUAGGAAUACCCGCUGA
Molecule: unclassified non-coding RNA, 381 nt
Filed under: uncultured fungus
Lineage: Eukaryota; Fungi
Description: partial contains 5.8S ribosomal RNA and internal transcribed spacer 2
Rfam family: 5.8S ribosomal RNA (bases 1-133)
Source: RNAcentral